RNAcentral lists this ribosomal RNA (1043 nucleotides) under uncultured Candidatus Solibacter sp. RNAcentral describes it as "bacterial SSU rRNA". It matches the Rfam family "Bacterial small subunit ribosomal RNA", at positions 337 to 1396 of the family's 1533-position model. Lineage: Bacteria; Pseudomonadati; Acidobacteriota; Terriglobia; Bryobacterales; Solibacteraceae. The record is from RNAcentral.
UCCUACGGGAGGCAGCAGUGGGGAAUCUUGCACAAUGGGGGAAACCCUGAUGCAGCGACGCCGCGUGAGCGAUGAAGCCCUUCGGGGUGUAAAGCUCUUUCGGCAGGGAAGAUAGUGACGGUACCUGCAGAAGCAGCUGCGGCUAACUACGUGCCAGCAGCCGCGGUAAUACGUAGGCAGCAAGCGUUGUUCGGAGUUACUGGGCGUAAAGGGUGCGUAGGCGGCCAAUUAAGUUUGUCGUGAAAUCUCCCGGCUUAACUGGGAGGGUGCGGCGAAUACUGACUGGCUGGAGUGCGGGAGAGGAGAGUGGAAUUCCUGGUGUAGCGGUGAAAUGCGUAGAUAUCAGGAGGAACACCGGCGGUGUAGACGGCUCUCUGGACCGUAACUGACGCUGAGGCACGAAAGCGUGGGUAGCAAACAGGAUUAGAUACCCUGGUAGUCCACGCCCUAAACGAUGCACACUUGGUGUGGGCCGUUCAGUCGGUCCGUGCCGGAGCUAACGCGUUAAGUGUGCCGCCUGGGGAGUACAGUCGCAAGGCUGAAACUCAAAGGAAUUGACGGGGGCCCGCACAAGCGGUGGAGCAUGUGGUUCAAUUCGACGCAACGCGAAGAACCUUACCUGGGCUCGAACGGCCUCCUAACGGCGUUGGAAACAGCGCUAUCCCGCAAGGGAGUGGGGUCGAGGUGCUGCAUGGCUGUCGUCAGCUCGUGUCGUGAGAUGUUGGGUUAAGUCCCGCAACGAGCGCAACCCUUGUCCUGUGUUACCAGACCCGAAAGGGAGGGACUCGCAGGAGACCGCCAGCGAUAAGUUGGAGGAAGGUGGGGAUGACGUCAAGUCCUCAUGGCCUUUAUGUCCAGGGCUACACACGUGCUACAAUGGCCGGUACAAUGCGCAGCGAAGCCGCGAGGUGAAGCCAAUCGCAAAAAACCGGUCUCAGUUCGGAUUGCAGGCUGCAACUCGCCUGCAUGAAGCUGGAAUCGCUAGUAAUGGCAGAUCAGCACGCUGCCGUGAAUACGUUCCCGGGCCUUGUACACACCGCCAU